UGCAGCCUGCAACUCGGCUGCAUGAAGCCGGAAUCGCUAGUAAUCGCGGAUCAGAACGCCGCGGUGAAUACGUUCCCGGGUCUUGUACACACCGCCCGUCACACCAUGGGAGUCGGGAAUGCCCGAAGUCGGUGAGCCAACGAAAGAGGCAGCCGCCGAAGGCAGGCCCGGUAACUGGGGUGAAGUCGUAACAAGGUAAC
Molecule: ribosomal RNA, 200 nt
Filed under: uncultured bacterium
Lineage: Bacteria
Description: partial 16S ribosomal RNA
Rfam family: Bacterial small subunit ribosomal RNA
Source: RNAcentral